This 253-nucleotide ribosomal RNA is filed under the name uncultured bacterium. Its description in RNAcentral is "partial 16S ribosomal RNA". It matches the Rfam family "Bacterial small subunit ribosomal RNA", at positions 524 to 776 of the family's 1533-position model. The record is from RNAcentral. RNAcentral also lists the same sequence under 1 other name.
AACGUAGGAGGCGAGCGUUAUCCGGAAUUACUGGGCGUAAAGCGCGUGCAGGCGGUUCGGUUAGUUGGAUGUGAAAGCUCCUGGCUUAACUGGGAGAGGUCGUUCAAUACUGCCGGACUUGAGAGUGGUAGAGGGAGAUGGAAUUCCGCAUGUAGUGGUGAAAUGCGUAGAUAUGCGGAGGAACACCAGUGGCGAAAGCGGUCUCCUGGCCCACUUCUGACGCUCAGACGCGAAAGCUAGGGUAGCAAACGGG